GACGAACGCUGGCGGCGUGCCUAAUACAUGCAAGUAGAACGCUGAAGGAGGAGCUUGCUUCUCCGGAUGAGUUGCGAACGGGUGAGUAACGCGUAGGUAACCUGCCUGGUAGCGGGGGAUAACUAUUGGAAACGAUAGCUAAUACCGCAUAAGAGUAGAUGUCGCAUGACAUUUGCUUAAAAGGUGCAACUGCACCACUACCAGAUGGACCUGCGUUGUAUUAGCUAGUUGGUGAGGUAACGGCUCACCAAGGCAACGAUACAUAGCCGACCUGAGAGGGUGAUCGGCCACACUGGGACUGAGACACGGCCCAGACUCCUACGGGAGGCAGCAGUAGGGAAUCUUCGGCAAUGGACGGAAGUCUGACCGAGCAACGCCGCGUGAGUGAAGAAGGAUUUCGGAUCGUAAAGCUCUGUUGUAAGAGAAGAACGAGUGUGAGAGUGGAAAGUUCACACUGUGACGGUAUCUUACCAGAAAGGGACGGCUAACUACGUG
RNAcentral lists this ribosomal RNA (495 nucleotides) under uncultured bacterium. RNAcentral describes it as "partial 16S ribosomal RNA". It matches the Rfam family "Bacterial small subunit ribosomal RNA", at positions 28 to 507 of the family's 1533-position model. The record is from RNAcentral.